Molecule: unclassified non-coding RNA, 329 nt
Filed under: soil metagenome
Description: partial contains 5.8S ribosomal RNA, internal transcribed spacer 2, and large subunit ribosomal RNA
Rfam family: 5.8S ribosomal RNA (bases 1-120)
Source: RNAcentral
GAUGAAGAACGCAGCGAAAUGCGAUAAGUAAUGUGAAUUGCAGAAUUCAGUGAAUCAUCGAAUCUUUGAACGCACAUUGCGCCCCUUGGUAUUCCGGGGGGCAUGCCUGUUCGAGCGUCAUUACAACCCUCAAGCUCUGCUUGGUCUUGGGCGUCACCGGUCCCCGGUGUGCCUUAAAAUCAGUGGCGGCGCCAUCUGGCUCUAAGCGUAGUACAUACUCUCGCUACAGACGUCCGGUGGAUGCUGGCCAGCAACCCCCAAUUUAUCAAGGUUGACCUCGGAUCAGGUAGGGAUACCCGCUGAACUUAAGCAUAUCAAUAAGCGGAGGA